Molecule: ribosomal RNA, 251 nt
Filed under: uncultured bacterium
Lineage: Bacteria
Description: partial 16S ribosomal RNA
Rfam family: Bacterial small subunit ribosomal RNA
Source: RNAcentral
ACGGAGGAUGCGAGCGUUAAUCGGAAUCACUGGGCGUAAAGCGCAUGUAGGCUGCUUUGCAAGUCAGGGGUGAAAUCCCACGGCUCACCCGUGGAACUGCCCUUGAUACUGACUGGCUUGAGUGAGUGAGAGGAUAGUGGAAUUCCUGGUGUAGGAGUGAAAUCCGUAGAGAUCAGGAGGAACAUCAGUGGCGAAGGCGACUAUCUGGCACUAUACUGACGCUGAGGUGCGAAAGCGUGGGUAUCAAACAG